Grus americana (Whooping crane) is the source of this 1028-nucleotide long non-coding RNA. RefSeq lists it as uncharacterized. The record is from RefSeq and is a predicted model, not a curated record. Lineage: Eukaryota; Metazoa; Chordata; Aves; Gruiformes; Gruidae. The transcript has 6 exons.
GUGUGAAGUUAGCCAGACUCUGGCCAUUCUCAUCCUUGAGCCUACCACCACACAAAUGCCUCUGCCACUGCUUCAUUAAAGCAGUCUCGGAUCUACAUGGACCUACCCUGUCAUCGGAUAUUAUUUGCAUAUUAGAGACACUGAAUUACCUUUUGAAACCAGAGCCAAUCUUCACAGAUAUUCAUAUGAAACCUCUUUGACUGAAGAAAUGAGUAAUAAGGAAGUUCCUGGAAUGCAGGCCAGACAGUCAUUUCAGUCUAGCAAAAAAACUGGUCAUGGCUCUGAAAUUCUUCUGGUCAUCUUCACAAAAAGCUCUACAGUCAGCUGUCCAGAAGAAAGAAGACCCUCAGAACUUUAGAAAUACGGAGACAGUAUGUUUGGUUUUUGCAGGAAACGAGCACUGUUGCUGAAUUCAGAGAGCCACAAAGUCAGAAUUGUCUUUCUGGAAGCUUCAGAUUAAUGCAGGAUAAACAGACUAAGUUGGACUUUGGUUCUCUGCUGCAUUCCUAUGACAUACCAUGGAUAUCUGAAGCAGAACAGUAAAGUAACAUCAAUUCUGUGAAAGGUUAAGAGAAAAAAGAAACGACCAGCCAUCUUUCAAAGCUUCUCCAACAGUCAGGUUUCUUUGUUCACAUUUUCAUGAUAAAAACUCCGAGCAAACUGAGGGUUGUCCAGGUACCUUACACCUUCAGUUCACAGUAUCAAAACAUGGCAAACAUCAGCACUGCCACAGAAAAACACAAACCCACAGAGCAAUACAUACAUGCCUUCCCUCCCUUAUUCCUUCUCCAUGUUCUCACUCUGAUGCUACAUCACCUCGUCCAUAUAUGCAAGCCAAAGCAUUUGUUUGAAUAGAUUUGAGCUUAAAACUGAGUAAAAACGGGAGGUUAGUAAACCUCAAUCCAAUUCACUAAAAAAAAAAAAAACCAAAAACAUACAACCCUUUUGGCCAGGCUCAAAUACAUAGUAUUUCAGUGUCAGCUGUAAAAUAUCAAUGAAAAUAACUUUCAAAGUGGAAUUAUACUGAA